Long non-coding RNA from Neofelis nebulosa (Clouded leopard), 1822 nucleotides. RefSeq lists it as uncharacterized. The transcript has 2 exons. NCBI's taxonomy places the organism in Eukaryota, Metazoa, Chordata, Mammalia, Carnivora, Felidae. The record is from RefSeq and is a predicted model, not a curated record.
CAAUAAAUUUCCUAACUUGGCUCUCUUUUUCUUUAAGUGACACAAUUCUGUGACUUCUAGGACAAGUGGAAGUCUCCAUUUAAAAACCACUCUAAUGUUGAAUGAAUCUUUAACAGCAGCAAAAUAUCUUGAGGAAAUGGGGGCUUUGGUUGUUCCUGCUGCUUCCUGGCUUCCUGUACCAGAGACAUCAGACAAAGGCUCAUUUUUCAUUUCCAUAUACAACACUGAAGACAAGAUCUACAAUAAAAAAUAAGGCAACACCCACCCCCACCCCCAAAAUAGCCUUUCAGACACAUGCAAUGGAUUAAUAAGGAAGACAUACAUAACUUGCUUAUUGAUCUAGCCCAAACUUUGACAUAGUCUCCCUUACCCUGAUGUCAUAUCUUUACUACACUAUACUGAAUUGAAUUUAGCUCCUACAGUUUCUUAAAUACGACAACCGGAAACAAUGAGAUUAUAUACAAGAACUAUACAAGGAUCGUGAAACUUAAUAAAAUUUAGAGAAAAAAAAUCUAGAAAUGUGAGAGUGAUUCAGGUGAGACAUGUCACCUCAUUGACCAUGGGGUUCAGUCCACUCACUAAUUUGGCUGACCAGAUUUCCAUGUGUACCUUCUGGAAGCUGCCCAUCUGGUAGAAAAAAGAAAAUCUUAACUGUAAAAGAAGAAGAAGGAGAAGAACAGCAACAAUAGUUUUUUUCAGUUCAUAUAGUCCAGUAAGUGUGAUACUUCCCCCAAAAAAUAUUUUCAGAAAUUAAGAAUUGAUGUAAAGUAUCUUUCUCCCUGGAGGGAAUACGAAAGUCAGAUGCUCUGUCCUUUGUACAUGGGCAACGCUUUCUCUUACCUGGACUUUCUCUCUCUCACCUGGACAAAAAGGUAUGAUGAUCAUUGCCUUUCUUAGUAUGAAAACCAUUCGAAUAAGUAAAACCUAUGCUCAACCAGAACUCUCACUUCUAUCCACUUGUCUUAGACCAUUAAAAGACCAAUUGCUACUCUAAUUCCAUGCAAACUUGUGAAUCAUAUAGGGCAUAUGUGACGACCCUGCUAAGAAGAGAAUUUGACCAACUCGUCCCUAGUUCUCUUAGAAGAUACCCUCAGAAGCUCAAUACUAAAGGAAACUUCAGUCCCGGAUCCUCUAAGUGCUUUCCUUGCAUGUGCAUGAGAUGUUUUGGCAGCUCUGUGGAGCUUUCAGAAGCCUUGAACAGAGAAAAUAAGAAAGAAUGGCAUUCCAGGGAAUAAACAAGUUUGACCUCAAUUGGACAAAAGGAGGUACAAAGCCUGGUGAAGGAAGAAACAGAAUAGGUAAAACAGAACACACCCUGUAACACCAGGGGAAAGUAGCAACCUUAUAAAUACAAACAUGUUGGACAGCAAACGUACCAGUGCUGUGCGUGAGAAAGUGAUCCAAGGAAGAGAGAAAGCCCUGCACAUCGGGUGAGAAUCACAUGCAUCAGGAAAGAAAGAAAGUGCAGAGAAGAACCUGCUGCCUACUUAAUGUGCCUGCCCAGCUGGCUUGGCCUCAGUGCUGCAUCCAGCAACCAGGAAGCCACCGUGGGAAAGCCAGCCCUAAAUGCACAAGAGGCCAAGGAGCUUGGUUUCCUGAAGGAUCCCUGCCUCCUGAAGCUGGCAACAACAUCUCUUUAUCUGGCUGGAUAAAGCAGGGCAUCUUUCUUUCAAGAGAAACAAGAGGUGUUUUUUUUUUUUUUUUAAUUCAGAUUUUAUUAAUCCCACAGGUUUGAGAGAGGUGGCAUGGGAAAAGCAAAUGUUAGCUAAUUAACUGCUUCCUAGGAUCCAAUCAGUCAUUAAAAAUGUGCUUAUGAAAUUUU